CCCGGGCUCGGACGUUGGGGACGCAGGCCUCCUGCUGGUGAAGGCGGCGCCCGAGGGUGCCCUGUGCCCACCCUCCUACGCGCGCUCUUGGCCUCCUUGCGGCGCUAGCCACCCAGCCCGAGCCUCCUGGCGCCGCCUAGUCCACGCGGAAGUCCCCGAGUGACCUGGGGGAGGCCCUCCCUCCCCACGCACGCAGAUUCACGAGCCCGUGCGGAGCACGAGUGACGCGUGCUCGCCGGCCCGGCACCGGCGUCCCCUCCACCCUCCCGCUUCCUGUCCCCUCGCAGCCCAGCUCCUGGCCUCGCAGCCACGUCCCCUCCUGAGCCCAGGCUGCGGUGAAACCUGUUGCUGUGGCUCACGUUUCUAUCCCCUCCCGCCGCCGCUGAAAUGGCUCAGCGAGGCGUGCCUGUGGGAAGCCAGGGUUAUCGGCGGACACAACAUCUUUGUUUGUAUGUGGUGCUGAGGAUCGAACCCAGGCCGCACGCAUGCCAGGCGAGCGUGCUACUGCUUGAGCCACAUCCCCAGUGGAAAAACCUUGUGAAGAUGUCAUGAGAAAUGGCGCUCUAUGUUUACUGAGAUGCCUUCUGCUGAAGGAGACGGCUUUUGGUUCUUCACCACUACCCCUUCACCACUAACACUAUCCCUUCACCACUAACACUUGCUGUUGUGGCCGCUGGACGGCUCCCUGUCAAGCUCCCAUCCCUCCUCCACUGCUCAUGCACAAAGACCAUCUUUUAAACACCUCUCCAGCAGCUGCCCCCUGCCGGAGGUCCACCUGAGCUUCUCACCCUGGCCCUCCAGGCCCUUCAGGACUUCUCAGUGGAGACACGCUUUGCAGGACACUGCCAACAGGACAAAGCCUCUUGGGAGUCUGUGCCUCCAGGCAGCAUGAGAGGCUAAGCCCCCCUGACCACCAGGAGCCAGCAGUGCCCUGCAAUCAGAUGCCAGGGGCACCUCUGCAGAGGUGGGAAGCCCAUUGCCCCACCAGCCUGCCCAAUCUGGCCACCGCCUGCCUUGGCCCUCAGGACCUACGCACUGCCAGUUUCUCUGCUUUGGUGCGAUUAAUCCCCACAUCUGCCCAUGCAGCUUUUUCUCCCAUUCAGAGAGGCCUUCCCUAGACACCCCACCUAAAACAGCUGCAUAUGCAUGCGCGUGCGCGUGCUCACGCGCGCGCGCGCACACACACACACACAGCAUCUCUAUGCACAAUUACAUUUGCACAAUCUCCCCAUUGCUUCCUUACCUCCUCUCUGCUCUAGAAUGUAAGUUCCAUGAGAACGAUGUUUUAUUUUCUGCCGUAUCCUCACUGUCUACAGAUACAUCUUUAUAAAUAUUUGUUGACUGAGUAAAAUAGAGGCUACUGUUGUAUGUCAUUUUACCACAUUUAUCACAAAUGCAAAGAAGCAGUGAAAGACUUGUCAGCAACAAGGCCACCCUGCAUACCAAACGCCAUCACCUCCUUGUUGAGUCACAGUGAUCACUUCUGUGUGACAGAUGGUCACACAAAGACACGGGGCACCACAGACCAUCCUGAACAUAAUCCCCGUGUCCCCACUUCAGGGCAGUGCCCACAUGGGCUGCCCUGCGCAGGCCCUGCAUCUCCUUUGCUUUCCAGUUGUUCUGCCUUCUCAAGGCCAGGCCCCAAACUGACUCACCUUCAAAGAAAGGGAGGGAGAGGAAGCAAGUUGCAUUGUUUCCCAAGGGAGGAAUUUGAAUAUGCAUUUCUCCUGAUUCUAGGUCCUAACAGAACUGAUCCAGAAGCAUCAGAAGGGAGGGACACCUGUGGGGUCAGGACAGUGGGCACAAGGCACAGACAGAGCUCAGCAUUCCAGAACCCCCUCUAGCCAAGCCCCUUCCACCUGGGGCUCCCAGUCCAGUGCUCCAGGAAGCUGCUGGCUACACAGCUGGCAUCCACAGACAACCUGACAUUUUACUUUCCAGCCUUGGAAUAGUGGGAAAAGCCAAAGCUUUCGGGAUAAGUGUGAGUUUGAGUACAUCUUCCUCUUGUCACUGGGAGAGGUAAGUUACUUAACCUCUUUGUUUCAUGAUACAAAUAUGUAGGUCUACUAGGUGAUAGAUAAAUGUGUGUGUGGUACUUAGGCUCAUCAGCACACAGCGAACAGUAGCGUGCCCCUCUGGGGAGGAGAGGGCCAUACUUUCCCCCAAGGUUGGAGGACAUUUUACCUUGGAGGUGAGAGGAGGUUCAAGGCCUGGGAGCCCUGCAGUUGAGGUUUGAUGCGGGGGUAGAGGAGUGGUUCCCAUAUUUUGGCUCUCAGGCCGCCUACCUGCCUACUGGUCAGGAACUGCAAAUAUUCAGGUCCCACCCAGAACCUUAGAUGAGAACUGGGAUGGGGCCCUGUGACCUGUUUUCAGGGAACACAGGGCUCUCUGGGCUGGGAAUAUCUGUAAUAGGGAGAAGGAGGCUGAGGUCAGGGGAGAAGGUCAGCUGUCUUCUGGCUAGUGCAGGACUCCAGGCACUGCCCUCAGAGGCCCCAUGGGUACCCCUUUCCCAUAGGCUGGAUACCAACCUGUCACAAACAGACCAGGGCACAUCAGGAGGGCAUGGGCUUCAGUUGCAGGGCAAAUGUGGGAGAGUCUCCCUGCAGCCCCGGAGCCCCUGGACAGCAGACUGGACUUGAGUCUGUUUCCCUGAGGAGUGAACACCAUCCUGUUCUUGUGUGAUUCAAGAAGGCAGAGGCUGGCUCAGCUCCUGAAGCUUCUCUGGCUUCAGGGUUGCUUCCUGAGUGGCCAAGAUGGACAGAUUGAUAUAAAAUGAAGCAGUCAGACCCACGUGCUGUGCUCCUCUGUGUCCUGGACACGAAGUUGACUCUGCUGGGACACUGGUGUUUCUGAGUGGAUAAAGUUCAAGCAGAGUCCUAUAUGAUUUUGGAGUCAAGAACAAACUUCUUAUUCAGCAAGAAGAAAUCCCUGCCCUGAUCACCCAUCAGCAGGGAGAAGUGAGACACUCUAGCAAAUCCCUGUUGAUAAAACAAAAAUCUCUGUUCAAGAACAUUCUGUCUUUACGAAACACAAGUGCAGCCAGCACUCGUAACACUUGUUCGUUCGUUAAUAAUAAAGAGAAUUCUUCAGUGACUACUGAGAUGAAUAAAUAUUUUUUAAAAAGCA
Molecule: non-coding RNA, 3126 nt
Organism: Ictidomys tridecemlineatus (thirteen-lined ground squirrel)
Lineage: Eukaryota; Metazoa; Chordata; Mammalia; Rodentia; Sciuridae
Source: RefSeq, a predicted model, not a curated record